AGGGCUGUAGCUCACUGGUAGAACAUCUGUGCUGCCUACAGAAGGUCUCAGGUUCAAUACCUGACAUCUCUG
This is a non-coding RNA of Podarcis lilfordi (Lilford's wall lizard), 72 nucleotides long. NCBI's taxonomy places the organism in Eukaryota, Metazoa, Chordata, Lepidosauria, Squamata, Lacertidae. The record is from the annotation of a GenBank genome assembly.